This 465-nucleotide ribosomal RNA is filed under the name uncultured bacterium. RNAcentral describes it as "partial 16S ribosomal RNA". It matches the Rfam family "Bacterial small subunit ribosomal RNA", at positions 29 to 505 of the family's 1533-position model. The record is from RNAcentral.
ACGAACGCUGGCGGCGCGCCUAACACAUGCAAGUCGAACGGAGCUGAGAGAAGCUUGCUUUUCUUAGCUUAGUGGCGAACGGGUGAGUAACGCGUGAGUAACCUGCCCUGGAGUGGGGGACAACAGUUGGAAACGACUGCUAAUACCGCAUAAGCCCACGAUCCGGCAUCGGAUUGAGGGAAAAGGAUUUAUUCGCUUCAGGAUGGACUCGCGUCCAAUUAGCUAGUUGGUGAGGUAACGGCCCACCAAGGCGACGAUUGGUAGCCGGACUGAGAGGUUGAACGGCCACAUUGGGACUGAGACACGGCCCAGACUCCUACGAGAGGCAGCAGUGGGGGAUAUUGCACAAUGAGGGAAACCCUGAUGCAGCGACGCCGCGUGGAGGAAGAAGGUUUUCGGAUUGUAAACUCCUGUCGUAAGAGACGAUAAUGACGGUACCGAAGAAGAAAGCACCGGCUAACUACG